Molecule: ribosomal RNA, 253 nt
Filed under: uncultured bacterium
Lineage: Bacteria
Description: partial 16S ribosomal RNA
Rfam family: Bacterial small subunit ribosomal RNA
Source: RNAcentral
UACGUAGGGUGCGAGCGUUGUCCGGAAUUACUGGGCGUAAAGAGCUCGUAGGUGGUUUGUCGCGUUGUUCGUGAAAACUCACAACUCAAUUGUGGGCGUGCGGGCGAUACGGGCAGACUGGAGUACUGCAGGGGAGACUGGAAUUCCUGGUGUAGCGGUGGAAUGCGCAGAUAUCAGGAGGAACACCGGUGGCGAAGGCGGGUCUCUGGGCAGUAACUGACGUUGAGGAGCGAAAGCGUGGGGAGCGAACAGG